AUGAAGAUACCUCUUAAGAAUAAAAUCCUUGCAUGGUACCUUCAUCGCGGAGUCAUUCUUACUAAGGAUAACCUUAUUUAGAGGAAUUGGCAUGGAAGUACACAAUGUGUCUUUUGUCACCAUGAUGAGACAAUAAAACAUUUAUUCUUCUAAUGCAAAUUGGCUCAUUCUAUAUGGUCAGCCAUCCAAAUAGCUUCUCGCUUGUAUCCUCCUUGUAGUGUUGCUAGUGCAUUUGGCAACUGGGUACAUGGGAUUGAUCACAUGUUUAGAAUUCUUCUCAGGGUGGGAGCGCUUGCCGUUAUUUGGUCGCUUUGGCUGUGUAAAAAUGAUAAGGUUUUUGAUGAUAAAAGUACUUCUUUGAUGCAGGUUAUCUACAGAUGUACCGGGGCUCUUCUUUUAUGGUCGUCUCUACAACGCGUGGAGAAUCAAGACCUGUUUACGAAGGUGUGUACACGAUUUGAGGCUACGGCGAGGGAUACUUUUAUGCAACAUGGGGGCAGCAUGAUCUUAUGA
Molecule: ribosomal RNA, 513 nt
Filed under: Triticum aestivum (bread wheat)
Lineage: Eukaryota; Viridiplantae; Streptophyta; Magnoliopsida; Poales; Poaceae
Description: partial small subunit ribosomal RNA
Source: RNAcentral